AUAACACGUGAGUAAUCUGCCCUUCACUUCGGGAUAAGCUUCUUGACCCGGGGUCUAAUACCGGAUACGACACUUUCAGGCAUCUGAUGAGUGUGGAAAGUUUUUCGGUGGGGGAUGUGCUCGCGGCCUAUCAGCUUGUUGGUGGGGUAAUGGCCUACCAAGGCUUCGACGGGUAGCCGGCCUGAGAGGGUGACCGGCCACACUGGGACUGAGACACGGCCCAGACUCCUACGGGAGGCAGCAGUGGGGAAUAUUGGACAAUGGGCGGAAGCCUGAUCCAUCAACGCCGCGUGAGGGAUGACGGCCUUCGGGUUGUAAACCUCUUUCAAUACCGACGAAGCGAGAGUGACGGGUAGGUACAGAAGAAGCACCGGCCAACUACGUGCCAGCAGCCGCGGUAAUACGUAAGGUGCGAGCGUUGUCCGGAAUUAUUGGGCGUAAAGGGCUCGUAAGCGGUUUGUCGCGUCCGGGAGUGAAAACACCGGGCUUAACUCGGUGCUUGCUUUCGAUACGGGGCAGACUAGAGGUAUGCAAGGGAGAACGG
RNAcentral lists this ribosomal RNA (544 nucleotides) under Nocardioides kribbensis. Its description in RNAcentral is "bacterial SSU rRNA". It matches the Rfam family "Bacterial small subunit ribosomal RNA", at positions 110 to 664 of the family's 1533-position model. The record is from RNAcentral. Lineage: Bacteria; Bacillati; Actinomycetota; Actinomycetes; Propionibacteriales; Nocardioidaceae.